UGACCUUCGGAUCAGGAAG
This 19-nucleotide ribosomal RNA is filed under the name Usnea aurantiacoatra. RNAcentral describes it as "partial 26S ribosomal RNA". The record is from RNAcentral. Lineage: Eukaryota; Fungi; Ascomycota; Lecanoromycetes; Lecanorales; Parmeliaceae.